AUUGAACGCUGGCGGCAGGCUUAACACAUGCAAGUCGAGCGGUAACAGAGAGAAGCUUGCUUCUCUGCUGACGAGCGGCGGACGGGUGAGUAAUGCCUAGGAAUCUGCCUAGUAGUGGGGGAUAACUUGCCGAAAGGUAAGCUAAUACCGCAUACGUCCUACGGGAGAAAGGAGGGGACCUUCGGGCCUUUCGCUAUUAGAUGAGCCUAGGUCGGAUUAGUUAGUUGGUGAGGUAAUGGCUCACCAAGACCGCGAUCCGUAACUGGUCUGAGAGGAUGAUCAGUCACACUGGAACUGAGACACGGUCCAGACUCCUACGGGAGGCAGCAGUGGGGAAUAUUGGACAAUGGGGGGAACCCUGAUCCAGCCAUGCCGCGUGUGUGAAGAAGGUCUUAGGAUUGUAAAGCACUUUAAGUUGGGAGGAAGAGCAGUUAACUAAUAUUUGACUGUUUUGACGUUACCGACAGAAUAAGCACCGGCUAACUUCGUGCCAGCAG
RNAcentral lists this ribosomal RNA (497 nucleotides) under uncultured bacterium. RNAcentral describes it as "bacterial SSU rRNA". It matches the Rfam family "Bacterial small subunit ribosomal RNA", at positions 30 to 514 of the family's 1533-position model. The record is from RNAcentral.